This 450-nucleotide ribosomal RNA is filed under the name uncultured bacterium. RNAcentral describes it as "partial 16S ribosomal RNA". It matches the Rfam family "Bacterial small subunit ribosomal RNA", at positions 354 to 796 of the family's 1533-position model. The record is from RNAcentral.
GUGGGGAAUCUUCCGCAAUGGACGAAAGUCUGACGGAGCAACGCCGCGUGAACGAUGACGGCCUUCGGGUUGUAAAGUUCUGUUAUACGGGACGAAUGGUACGACGGCCAAUACCCGUCGUAAGUGACGGUACCGUAAGAGAAAGCCACGGCUAACUACGUGCCAGCAGCCGCGGUAAUACGUAGGUGGCAAGCGUUGUCCGGAAUUAUUGGGCGUAAAGGGCGCGCAGGCGGCGUCGUAAGUCGGUCUUAAAAGUGCGGGGCUUAACCCCGUGAGGGGACCGAAACUGCGAUGCUAGAGUGUCGGAGAGGAAAGCAGAAUUCCUAGUGUAGCGGUGAAAUGCGUAGAUAUUAGGAGGAAUACCAGUGGCGAAAGCGGCUUUCUGGACGACAACUGACGCUGAGGCGCGAAAGCCAGGGGAGCAAACGGGAUUAGAUACCCGGGUAGUCC